AUGUACACACAAAGAAUAUCUACAUCUUCUUCAUCUACAACACCUCAAUGGAAAUAUGAUGUUUUUCUCAGUUUUAGAGGCGAUGACACUCGGAAGGGCUUUACAGACCACUUAUAUGAAACAUUGAGAGCUCAAGGAAUCAUAACUUUUAGGGAUGAGCCUAAAAUUUUGAAGGGAAAAGCUAUUUCUCGAGAACUAAUUGCUGCAAUUGAAGGAUCAAGGUUUGCGCAUAUUGUCCUCUCACAAAAUUAUGCAUCCUCAACAUGGUGCUUGGAUGAACUUCUACACAUUCUUAAAUUCAUGCAAGCAAGAGAAGCAGUGCUACCAAUAUAUAUCUCUUUUUAUAUUUUACUUAUGGAAUAUGUUUUGCAUUUGUUAAAGAUUGUUUUGAAGAAGUUUGCAUCACAUAGAAGUUCCUUAAUGUUUUGA
This 429-nucleotide long non-coding RNA is filed under the name Prunus dulcis (almond). Its description in RNAcentral is "sRNA ncRNA". Lineage: Eukaryota; Viridiplantae; Streptophyta; Magnoliopsida; Rosales; Rosaceae. The record is from RNAcentral.